CCUACGGGGGGCAGCAGUGAGGAAUAUUGGUCAAUGGGCGCGAGCCUGAACCAGCCAAGUCGCGUGAGGGAAGACGGUCCUAUGGAUUGUAAACCUCUUUUGUCGGGGAGCAAAAGACGCCACGCGUGGCGUUCCGAGAGUACCCGAAGAACAAGCAUCGGCUAACUCCGUGCCAGCAGCCGCGGUAAUACGGAGGAUGCGAGCGUUAUCCGGAUUUAUUGGGUUUAAAGGGUGCGCAGGCGGAAGAUGAAGUCAGCGGUAAAAUUGAGAGGCUCAACCUCUUCGAGCCGUUGAAACUGGUUUUCGUGAGUGAGUGAGAAGUAUGCGGAAUGCGUGGUGUAGCGGUGAAAUGCAUAGAUAUCACGCAGAACUCCGAUUGCGAAGGCAGCAUACCGGCGCUCAACUGACGCUCAUGCACGAAAGUGUGGGUAUCGAACAGGAUUAGAUACCCGGGUAGUC
Molecule: ribosomal RNA, 459 nt
Filed under: uncultured bacterium
Lineage: Bacteria
Description: partial 16S ribosomal RNA
Rfam family: Bacterial small subunit ribosomal RNA
Source: RNAcentral